This 777-nucleotide ribosomal RNA is filed under the name uncultured Campylobacter sp. Its description in RNAcentral is "bacterial SSU rRNA". It matches the Rfam family "Bacterial small subunit ribosomal RNA", at positions 634 to 1408 of the family's 1533-position model. Lineage: Bacteria; Pseudomonadati; Campylobacterota; Epsilonproteobacteria; Campylobacterales; Campylobacteraceae. The record is from RNAcentral.
UGAUAGUCUAGAGUGAGGGAGAGGCAGAUGGAAUUGGUGGUGUAGGGGUAAAAUCCGUAGAUAUCACCAAGAAUACCCAUUGCGAAGGCGAUCUGCUGGAACUCAACUGACGCUAAGGCGCGAAAGCGUGGGGAGCAAACAGGAUUAGAUACCCUGGUAGUCCACGCCCUAAACGAUGUACACUAGUUGUUGGGAUGCUAGUCAUCUCAGUAAUGCAGCUAACGCAUUAAGUGUACCGCCUGGGGAGUACGGUCGCAAGAUUAAAACUCAAAGGAAUAGACGGGGACCCGCACAAGCGGUGGAGCAUGUGGUUUAAUUCGAAGAUACGCGAAGAACCUUACCUGGGCUUGAUAUCCUAAGAACCUUAUAGAGAUAUGAGGGUGCUAGCUUGCUAGAACUUAGAGACAGGUGCUGCACGGCUGUCGUCAGCUCGUGUCGUGAGAUGUUGGGUUAAGUCCCGCAACGAGCGCAACCCACGUAUUUAGUUGCUAACGGUUCGGCCGAGCACUCUAAAUAGACUGCCUUCGUAAGGAGGAGGAAGGUGUGGACGACGUCAAGUCAUCAUGGCCCUUAUGCCCAGGGCGACACACGUGCUACAAUGGCAUAUACAAUGAGACGCAAUACCGCGAGGUGGAGCAAAUCUAUAAAAUAUGUCCCAGUUCGGAUUGUUCUCUGCAACUCGAGAGCAUGAAGCCGGAAUCGCUAGUAAUCGUAGAUCAGCCAUGCUACGGUGAAUACGUUCCCGGGUCUUGUACUCACCGCCCGUCACACCAUGGG